Molecule: transfer RNA, 72 nt
Filed under: Bos taurus (domestic cattle)
Lineage: Eukaryota; Metazoa; Chordata; Mammalia; Artiodactyla; Bovidae
Also listed under: 2 other names
Rfam family: tRNA
About the family: Transfer RNA (tRNA) molecules are approximately 80 nucleotides in length. Their secondary structure includes four short double-helical elements and three loops (D, anti-codon, and T loops). Further hydrogen bonds mediate the characteristic L-shaped molecular structure. tRNAs have two regions of fundamental functional importance: the anti-codon, which is responsible for specific mRNA codon recognition, and the 3' end, to which the tRNAs corresponding amino acid is attached (by aminoacyl-tRNA synthetases). tRNAs cope with the degeneracy of the genetic code in two manners: having more than one tRNA (with a specific anti-codon) for a particular amino acid; and 'wobble' base-pairing, i.e. permitting non-standard base-pairing at the 3rd anti-codon position.
Source: Rfam by way of RNAcentral
UCUCUGGUGGUUCCGUGGCUAAGACUCUGCAUUCCCAACGCAGGGGGCCUGGGUUCAACCCCAGUCAGGGAA